Pelobates cultripes (western spadefoot toad) is the source of this 219-nucleotide non-coding RNA. The record is from the annotation of a GenBank genome assembly. Lineage: Eukaryota; Metazoa; Chordata; Amphibia; Anura; Pelobatidae.
CGGGUGACACAGUGACAGAGUGAGGGAGCGGGUGACACAGUGACAGAGUUAGGGAGGGAGUGACUAGUGACAGAGAGAGGGAUGGGGUGACUAGUGACAGUCACCCCCCUCACUCUGUCACUAGUCACCCCUUCCCUCCCUCACUUUGCCACUAGUCAUCUCUUCCCUCCCUCACUCUGCCACUAGUCACCCAUUCCCUCACUCUGUCACUAGUCACCC